This 477-nucleotide ribosomal RNA is filed under the name uncultured bacterium. Its description in RNAcentral is "partial 16S ribosomal RNA". It matches the Rfam family "Bacterial small subunit ribosomal RNA", at positions 28 to 523 of the family's 1533-position model. The record is from RNAcentral.
GAUAAACGUUUGCGGCGUGCCUGAUGCACGCAAGUCGAACGAUUUGAUUUUUCGCAAGAUUUAUCAGAUAGUGGCGAACGGCUGAGUAACGCGUAAGUAACCUGCCCUUAAGUGGGGGAUAACUUGUCGAAAGACAGGCUAAUACCGCAUGUGCUAGUAAUCGAUAGAUUAUUAGUAAAGCUUUUGCGCUUGAGGAGGGGCUUGCGUCCGAUUAGCUUGUUGGUAGGGUAAUGGCCUACCAAGGCGAUGAUCAGUAGCUGGUCUGAGAGGACAACCAGCCAGACGGGGACUGAGAUACGGCCCUGACUCCUACGGGAGGCAGCAGCAAGGAAUUUUGCGCAAUGGGCGAAAGCCUGACGCAGCGACGCCGCGUGGGGGAUGACGGCCUUCGGGUUGUAAACCCCUUUUCUCGGGGAAGAAAUAUGACGGUACUCGAGGAAUAAGUCUUAGCUAACUACGUGCCAGCAGCCGCAGUAA